AUUUACCAAUAGCAAACCGGUCUAAAAAACAUCUAUUAUGACAAUAAAAAGCUCCGAACUUCUGAAAAGAAUGACUGCAUAUGAAUGUGAAAUUAAAAAAAAUAUCAACACUACUUCUUAAUGAAUGUAUUACUUUGGUUCUAGGAAAAUCAAAAUGAUAUAGUAUUACAAAUUAAUCAAUAUAUUAUUCAGUGUUGUUUUUGCAUGUUAAUAUCUCCCUAAGUGGUUACAAUCUAUUCACAAGAAGGCCUAUUCAAUCCCAUAGCUCGGUUUGACGUUAUCGAGAGAUUGUGCAAUGCUAUGGACAAUGAUGGUAUACAAAUCCAAUGCUAGCGUGCAGAGUAAAUUGAAUUCAGUAUACUUCACUGACUCACAUUAUUUGCUACACACAUCGUAAUCUUAUAAAAAAGCCAAAAGGUAAGCUAAAUCUAGAAAGAAAAUAAGUAUAUUUUUAAACAAACAAUUAGGCACUGCGUCGGAUAAAGCAAGCAUGUUAUCAGUCAGACUGGGUUUUCUUCCUAAAAAACACAUGCGGUAUGCUGAUACUAAAAAAUGCGUUACCUUGCUAAAAGAACUUGUAGUAUUGCACUUGAUGUUUGUCUUUUAGAUUCUAGAAAAAAAAACCCCCUUGAAAUUAUAACGGAAUUUUAACGAGGACAAAGUUUGGGACACUAUUAUCACCAAAAGUGCCGAAUUGUAACUGCUUAAAUAAAAAGUAAUGCAACAAUAGCAUACACAACAAAUAUCUAAAAACGAAACGAAAAAAAUCCUUUCAAAAAUAUAUUAAGCACCUCCGUCAGCGAAAUAGAGUAAAACUUGUAACUU
Molecule: non-coding RNA, 825 nt
Organism: Schizosaccharomyces pombe (fission yeast)
Lineage: Eukaryota; Fungi; Ascomycota; Schizosaccharomycetes; Schizosaccharomycetales; Schizosaccharomycetaceae
Source: the annotation of a GenBank genome assembly